GGGCGAUAAAGGCAAACCCGGCGCAAGCCGGGGGCGCAAAGCCCAGAGACCCGCGUCUGCGGGUUGGUUAGGCUACCGAA
RNAcentral lists this non-coding RNA (80 nucleotides) under Elusimicrobiota bacterium. RNAcentral describes it as "Elusimicrobia bacterium c-di-GMP sequence". It matches the Rfam family "c-di-GMP-I riboswitch aptamer". From Rfam's summary of the family: GEMM was predicted in a large-scale screen for bacterial structured RNA regulatory elements. Genes associated with GEMM are involved in a diverse array of functions, including chemotaxis regulation, signal transduction, secretion and chitin. The record is from RNAcentral. Lineage: Bacteria; Pseudomonadati; Elusimicrobiota.